This 75-nucleotide transfer RNA is filed under the name Oscillatoriales cyanobacterium. RNAcentral's name for it is "tRNA-Trp". It matches the Rfam family "tRNA". Rfam says of the family: Transfer RNA (tRNA) molecules are approximately 80 nucleotides in length. Lineage: Bacteria; Bacillati; Cyanobacteriota; Cyanophyceae; Oscillatoriales. RNAcentral also lists the same sequence under 9 other names. The record is from RNAcentral.
GCAGGGAUGAUGUAACUGGCAACAUCUCAGUCUCCAAAACUGAUUUUCUGAGUUCAAAUCUCAGUCCCUGUGCCA